CCUACGGGAGGCAGCAGUGGGGAAUAUUGGGCAAUGGGCGCAAGCCUGACCCAGCAACGCCGCGUGAAGGAAGAAGGCUUUCGGGUUGUAAACUUCUUUUCUCAGGGACGAAGCAAGUGACGGUACCUGAGGAAUAAGCCACGGCUAACUACGUGCCACCAGCCGCCGUAAUACGUAGGUGGCAAGCGUUAUCCGGAUUUACUGGGUGUAAAGGGCGGGUAGGCGGGACUGCAAGUCAGAUGUGAAAACCAUGGGCUCAACCCAUGGCCUGCAUUUGAAACUGUUGUUCUUGAGUACUGGAGAGGCAGGCGGAAUUCCUAGUGUAGCGGUGAAAUGCGUAGAUAUUAGGAGGAACACCAGGGGCGAAGGCAGGCUGCUGGAC
This 382-nucleotide ribosomal RNA is filed under the name uncultured bacterium. RNAcentral describes it as "partial 16S ribosomal RNA". It matches the Rfam family "Bacterial small subunit ribosomal RNA", at positions 338 to 734 of the family's 1533-position model. The record is from RNAcentral.